This 912-nucleotide long non-coding RNA is filed under the name Daucus carota (carrot). RNAcentral describes it as "long non-coding RNA (DCAR_LNC000128)". Lineage: Eukaryota; Viridiplantae; Streptophyta; Magnoliopsida; Apiales; Apiaceae. The record is from RNAcentral.
GAGGAGGGCGAGGACUCGGACUCCGAGUAGGUAUGUGGGCGCUCUAGCCUUUUUAUCACUUUCAAUGGGGACAUUGAAAAUUUUAAGUUUGGGGGUGGUAAUCUAAGGAAGAGCAUAUUAUUAUGCAGUUUAUUGCAUGUGUAGUUAGUUCAUGUAGUUCACGUUUUUUUUUAUUUUAUUUUGUUUUUAUUUCUCACGUUUUUAGUUCACGUUUUUUUUUAUUUUAUUUUGUUUUUAUUUCUCACGUUUUUUUUCUCAUAUUUUUUUUUUAUUUUAUUUUUACAUGUUUAGUAGUAAUUGUUGUAGCUAGUAUCACGAGCAUUUGCAUGAAUUAUGAAGUUAAGCCAAGUUAAUUGCCUAUGAUGAGUUAUGUGCGUAGUUCUUGAUUAGUAAUUUCAAUUGCAAUGCUAGGUUAGUACUUAGAAAUUGCUUGUGUUGGAAAUUGUAAUUCACAUAUGUUCUUGAGAUAGGAUUUAGACGAAAUUCCAUGAAUUCUAGGAUUGAAUUGAACACCCUUCAGCUUAGGUCUGUAAAUCUUAAGUUUGGGGGAACUGAGGAGUAGAUAUACCUUUCUAAAAAAAAAAAUAGAUAGAAAAAAAAAAAAAAGUAGUAAAUAAAUUCACUAAAAAAAUAAGUGGUAGAAUUAACUAGGUUGAGCUCAUUAGUACUCGAGUAAUUAAGUCUGAGGGGACUUUGUGCCUAACAACCUAAAGCCCUUCGUGGUUUGGGAUUUGUUGACCCAACGCUCGCUACAUGGGUACUAGUGCAUAAAUCUUUAGGGAUCUCAACCAUUGCACGGUUAAAUAAACCACUAGAAUAGAGUGAAUAAUUGGUGUGUGAAGUCUUGUGGUGUUCGUAACGCAUUUACACUGCGAAGCGCUCUGACCUUAGACCAAGCAAUUAAUCACCAAU